Molecule: long non-coding RNA, 721 nt
Filed under: Salmo salar (Atlantic salmon)
Lineage: Eukaryota; Metazoa; Chordata; Actinopteri; Salmoniformes; Salmonidae
Description: lncRNA (ENSSSAG00000105678.1, ENSSSAG00020084650.1, ENSSSAG00075066464.1)
Source: RNAcentral
GUCAUAUCUCCAAUGACACUGUACACGUCACUACACUCAAUUGGGAAAAUGACAAUGGGAGCAUAGGGGUGCAGUAUAACUACAUGGACUGCUCCACUGCAGCAUGAGAGACUGGGAGGUAACCUGAUCCAGUCUCUGGUCUUCUUGCACUGCCAAGCAGAUAUUACUCUGUCUACAGUUGACGGCCAGCCCAUCCCCACCUGGCUGAAUCUACACUACUCGUUACGGAUCUGCUGCUCUCUCACUGUCUAUGGCACACCUCUGGAAAAGCCGCCGGCACAUCCGGCUGGAGAACCCUGAAGCACUGGAAUGGGAUUGGGGGGACUAGUGAUGAAGACUACAGGAUGCCUAUCCACCGUGGCCUAGUGUUUUGAUGCCAUCUAUUGGAAUAAUUGACCAAUUUAUCAAGGGGAGUAUACAGAGUGACUACCAACUGAAAUGCUUUCUAUCCUCAUAAUAGAAGUGGUCAAUUAUAAAUAUAUCAGUUACAAUUACUAAAUUCUACCCAACAAACAUUGAGUAAACAUUCAGCUAAUUUUGAUAUCAGAAUGAUUAUAUCUCAACUACUUCUACCAAGUCAAAUUUCAAAUGAUGAAAUGGUGAUAUGAUCGUGAACUAGAGAUAUCUUGAUUUUGCAUGAUGCCAGGUGUUUUUAUAAAGUAAAACAAUAGUUUGGAUCAAUACAAAGCAUAUCUCUUUUCUCCCAAACAUUGGAAAUCAC